Molecule: long non-coding RNA, 97 nt
Organism: Melanotaenia boesemani (Boeseman's rainbowfish)
Lineage: Eukaryota; Metazoa; Chordata; Actinopteri; Atheriniformes; Melanotaeniidae
Exons: 3
Source: RefSeq, a predicted model, not a curated record
AUAAUUUGCUGAUAGAAAUCAAGAUUCGAUGCAAUCCAUUGGUUUCCUUAGCUAGGCUAUUAUUUUUAUGAAUUGGCUUGUAUGAAUAGUGAUUGGA